CAAUGGCACUGCCCGGUAGCUAAAUGCGGAAGAGAUAAGUGCUGAAAGCAUCUAAGCACGAAACUUGCCCCGAGAUGAGUUCUCCCUGAGACUUUAAGUCUCCUGAAGGAACGUUGAAGACGACGACGUUGAUAGGCCGGGUGUGUAAGCGCAGCGAUGCGUUGAGCUAACCGGUACUAAUGAACCGUGAGGCUUAACCUUACAACGCCGAAG
This 213-nucleotide ribosomal RNA is filed under the name Klebsiella pneumoniae. RNAcentral describes it as "partial 23S ribosomal RNA". It matches the Rfam family "Bacterial large subunit ribosomal RNA", at positions 2730 to 2925 of the family's 2925-position model. The record is from RNAcentral. Lineage: Bacteria; Pseudomonadati; Pseudomonadota; Gammaproteobacteria; Enterobacterales; Enterobacteriaceae.